Long non-coding RNA from Lingula anatina, 323 nucleotides. NCBI's taxonomy places the organism in Eukaryota, Metazoa, Brachiopoda, Lingulata, Lingulida, Lingulidae. The record is from RefSeq and is a predicted model, not a curated record.
UAUUUUGACUUUGAAACUAAUAGUCUUCAUAUUCUUGAACCAUAAUCUGGAUAUCGACAAAUUUGCAGUACCUCAUCAAAUUUAAUUAAUUUCGAGUUGCAUCUGGUGCAGACUUGCAAGAACAUGGCAGCGCCCAUGUGGAUCAACGCGUUGGAGGUGUAUGUCAAUGGACAUCAAGCUACAGGUGUUGACACCAUUUCAAAAGGUAUUAUUGGGAAAGAAAUACAGCUAGUUGAACUAAUAGAAAAGCUUGGUCCUCACUUAACCAGUGCUGACACAGCUGUAAGAUGUAGAGGAACACGACUAUUGGGAGAGGUUCUGCA